This 253-nucleotide ribosomal RNA is filed under the name uncultured bacterium. Its description in RNAcentral is "partial 16S ribosomal RNA". It matches the Rfam family "Bacterial small subunit ribosomal RNA", at positions 524 to 776 of the family's 1533-position model. The record is from RNAcentral.
UACGUAGGGUGCGAGCGUUGUCCGGAAUUAUUGGGCGUAAAGAGCUUGUAGGCGGUUUGUCGCGUCUGCCGUGAAAAUCCGAGGCUCAACCUCGGACUUGCGGUGGGUACGGGCAGACUAGAGUGUGGUAGGGGAGACUGGAAUUCCUGGUGUAGCGGUGAAAUGCGCAGAUAUCAGGAAGAACACCCGUGGCUAAGGCGGCUCUCUAGUACGGUACUGACGCUGAGACGCGAAAGCGUGGGGAGCGAACAGG